GCCACCCACCCGGGCACCGGGGCCUGGAUCCUGCCCGCCGGGGUCACGAGGGUCCGGGGGCAGGAGCCUGGGGUGGCUUGGGACUGAUGGUGGUAUCGGGGCACUCGGUGGUGGUUUAAGGGUGUCGGGGCAGAAUUUGGGGUUGGGCUUGGGGGGGUAUUGGAGGCACUGGUGGCCUUGGGGCAGGCUUUGGGGGUGCUUAGGGGGUAGUGGGGGCGGUUUCUGUCCAGGUUUGGGGGUGGAUUUGAGAUCCAGGGGCUUUGCAGGCUAGUUGUGCUCAUUCCUUGGGGUACUGGACAGGUGUCAGGGUAUAACAUAUUACUUGCCUCCCACUUGAAAUGUUUUUUAUUGCAGAGUCAGGAGGAUUAAUCUAAAGACACAACCUUGGCAGGGGGGAUUCAACUGCUGACUUGCCUGUUGUGCUUAUGACAAGCUCUCCAACCAGACUGGGGUCUGGACUUGCAGACUGUGAGCUCAUUUCCCAAGUGCUGCUCUAAAACACUUCAGUUGGUGUGACCAAAACUAGGUUCGAAAACAGAUUCUGCAUAAAGUAGUAAAAUGUCUUACCAUGCAUCAAAUUGGCUCCCAGUGCUGUUGUUUAAAGCAAUAUUGUCUGUGUAGAGAGAUUAUUUUCUCCUCUUUUACUUAUCAGUACUAAAACUGUGCAGGCCACAUGCUAGAUGGCCCUCUCUGCUGACUGAAGUUACAGACUGAAAAUAUGUAUGCCAAAAGACAACAUCAAAAGUGAUUUUAGCCUUGGUCUUGAAGAGGCAAUAGUGAGUUCCAACGUCCCUUUCAGUGUUGUGAGAUUCUUGUUCUUUUUGAUUACAAAUUGCCUUGUUUUGCAGUCCUGCUGCUGUCAGGAAGUUUGUGGAGAAAGUAAUUAGAACUUCAGAAGGAGGUGUGGAAGAAACAUGAGAAAGAUAUCUUAGGUGAGAGGUGACAAGAUUGGCUGGAUCAAAGGAGAAAAUCAUUUGCAAUUUAGUAUAUUUGCAUACAGGACAACAGUGAAAACUAUUCAGUUAAAACCAGUUUGGCUAAUUAUAUGCUUCCAAAAGACCUAUAUAAGCAGAAGUGUCUUCUCCCUAUCUCUCUUGUGGAAAAGGGCAUCUAAGCUUUCCGAUACUUUUAAAUAAUACUGGUCCAGAACUGCAUAGGUGUUUUCCUCAGUUAUAUGUGAUAUGAGGCUUUCUCUCCUUCUUUCCUAAUUCCUAAAGGAUUCUGCAAGAGGUCAUACCUUCUCUCCCUCCCAUACAGCAUCUUCACAAUCAUUUACUGUUCUGGCUUUUUUUUUUUUUUUUUUUUUUUUAAAUGACCCAGCCACAAGCUGAUUCUGCAUUGGGCUAAGUGACAAGAGGUAUAAGUUAACUUUAAGGUUUCUUAUCCCUCUGUUUUCCUGUGAUUCUGUGAUUGCUUCCUUUUUCCAUUGAGUCCCUCGAAUUGAAUGCAAUAAAAAUGGUGAUAAAU
Long non-coding RNA from Dromaius novaehollandiae (emu), 1467 nucleotides. RefSeq lists it as uncharacterized. The record is from RefSeq and is a predicted model, not a curated record. The transcript has 2 exons. Lineage: Eukaryota; Metazoa; Chordata; Aves; Casuariiformes; Dromaiidae.